Molecule: non-coding RNA, 259 nt
Organism: Cinara cedri
Lineage: Eukaryota; Metazoa; Arthropoda; Insecta; Hemiptera; Aphididae
Source: the annotation of a GenBank genome assembly
CGUUUUUCGUUGAAAUUUUCUGAUCGUCUGAUUUGUUUACCUUACACACGUAUUUUUUAUAAGAAUAGGGUUAGUGGGUCAAACCGUAACGGAAAUCGCCUGCUAAAGUUGUAGAGUUUGGUGCAAAAAGGCGACAAACAAUCGACACAUGGACAAGUCCAUGUGUUUGAUAGAAUUUGAUUUUACGAACGUGUCCACGCUUUCUGCAAUUGUAGUGAUUAGUUGGUCAGGUGCUAAAAUAAUACUAUUCUACGAAGGU